CACGUAGUUAGCCGUGGCUUUCUGGUUAGGUACCGUCAAGGUACAAGCAGUUACUCUUGUACUUGUUCUUCCCUAACAACAGAGUUUUUACGAUCCGAAAACCUUCAUCACUCACGCGGCGUUGCUCCGUCAGACUUUCGUCCAUUGCGGAAGAUUCCCUACUGCUGCCUCCCGUAGGAGUCUGGGCCGUGUCUCAGUCCCAGUGUGGCCGAUCACCCUCUCAGGUCGGCUACGCAUCGUUGCCUUGGUGAGCCGUUACCUCACCAACUAGCUAAUGCGCCGCGGGCCCAUCUGUAAGUGACAGCGUAAACCGUCUUUCAGCUUUUUCCACAUGUGUAGAAAAGGAUUAUCCGGUAUUAGCUCCGGUUUCCCGAAGUUAUCCCAGUCUUACAGGCAGGUUGCCCACGUGUUACUCACCCGUCCGCCGCUAACUUUAAAAGCAAGCUUUUAAAGUCCGCUCGACUUGCAUGUAUUAGGCACGCCGCCAGCGUUCGUCCUGAGCCAGGAUCAAACUCU
RNAcentral lists this ribosomal RNA (516 nucleotides) under uncultured Bacillus sp. RNAcentral's name for it is "partial 16S ribosomal RNA". Lineage: Bacteria; Bacillati; Bacillota; Bacilli; Caryophanales; Bacillaceae. The record is from RNAcentral.